RNAcentral lists this ribosomal RNA (799 nucleotides) under Acetobacter sp. DmelCS_134. RNAcentral describes it as "bacterial SSU rRNA". It matches the Rfam family "Bacterial small subunit ribosomal RNA", at positions 62 to 903 of the family's 1533-position model. The record is from RNAcentral. Lineage: Bacteria; Pseudomonadati; Pseudomonadota; Alphaproteobacteria; Acetobacterales; Acetobacteraceae.
UCGCACGAAGGGUUUCGGCCUUAGUGGCGGACGGGUGAGUAACGCGUAGGUAUCUAUCCAUGGGGUGGGGGAUAACACUGGGAAACUGGUGCUAAUACCGCAUGACACCUGAGGGUCAAAGGCGUAAGUCGCCUGUGGAGGAGCCUGCGUUUGAUUAGCUAGUUGGUGGGGUAAAGGCCUACCAAGGCGAUGAUCAAUAGCUGGUUUGAGAGGAUGAUCAGCCACACUGGGACUGAGACACGGCCCAGACUCCUACGGGAGGCAGCAGUGGGGAAUAUUGGACAAUGGGGGCAACCCUGAUCCAGCAAUGCCGCGUGUGUGAAGAAGGUCUUCGGAUUGUAAAGCACUUUCGACGGGGACGAUGAUGACGGUACCCGUAGAAGAAGCCCCGGCUAACUUCGUGCCAGCAGCCGCGGUAAUACGAAGGGGGCUAGCGUUGCUCGGAAUGACUGGGCGUAAAGGGCGUGUAGGCGGUUUGUACAGUCAGAUGUGAAAUCCCCGGGCUUAACCUGGGAGCUGCAUUUGAUACGUGCAGACUAGAGUGUGAGAGAGGGUUGUGGAAUUCCCAGUGUAGAGGUGAAAUUCGUAGAUAUUGGGAAGAACACCGGUGGCGAAGGCGGCAACCUGGCUCAUUACUGACGCUGAGGCGCGAAAGCGUGGGGAGCAAACAGGAUUAGAUACCCUGGUAGUCCACGCUGUAAACGAUGUGUGCUAGAUGUUGGGUGACUUAGUCAUUCAGUGUCGCAGUUAACGCGUUAAGCACACCGCCUGGGGAGUACGGCCGCAAGGUUGAAACUCA